GAUGAACGCUAGCUACAGGCUUAACACAUGCAAGUCGAGGGGAAACGAUAGAGAAAGCUUGCUUUUUCUAGGCGUCGACCGGCGCACGGGUGAGUAACGCGUAUCCAACCUGCCCACCACUUGGGAAUAACCUUGCGAAAGUAAGACUAAUACCCAAUGAUAUCUCUAGAAGACAUCUGAAGGAGAUUAAAGAUUUAUCGGUGAUGGAUGGGGAUGCGUCUGAUUAGCUUGUUGGCGGGGUAACGGCCCACCAAGGCGACGAUCAGUAGGGGUUCUGGGAGGAAGGUCCACCACAUUGGAACUGAGACACGGUCCAAACUCCUACGGGAGGCAGCAGUGGGGAAUAUUGGUCAAUGGGCGAGAGCCUGAACCAGCCAAGUAGCGUGCAGGAUGACGGCCCUAUGGGUUGUAAACUGCUUUUAUAAGGGAAUAAAGUGAGCCUCGUGAGGCUUUUUGCAUGUACCUUAUGAAUAAGGACCGGCUAAUUCCGUGCCAGCCGCCGCCGUAA
This 508-nucleotide ribosomal RNA is filed under the name uncultured bacterium. RNAcentral's name for it is "partial 16S ribosomal RNA". It matches the Rfam family "Bacterial small subunit ribosomal RNA", at positions 28 to 523 of the family's 1533-position model. The record is from RNAcentral.